CCUACGGGAGGCAGCAGUGGGGAAUUUUGGACAAUGGGCGAAAGCCUGAUCCAGCCAUGCCGCGUGUCUGAAGAAGGCCUUCGGGUUGUAAAGGACUUUUGCCAGGGAGGAAAUCCCUAGUGCUAAUAACACUGGGGGAUGACAGUACCUGAAGAAUAAGCACCGGCUAACUACGUGCCAGCAGCCGCGGUAAUACGUAGGGUGCGAGCGUUAAUCGGAAUUACUGGGCGUAAAGCGUGCGCAGGCGGUUUGAUAAGCCAGAUGUGAAAUCCCCGAGCUCAACUUGGGAACUGCGUUUGGAACUGUCAGACUAGAGUGCGUCAGAGGGGGGUGGAAUUCCACGUGUAGCAGUGAAAUGCGUAGAGAUGUGGAGGAACACCGAUGGCGAAGGCAGCCCCCUGGGAUGACACUGACGCUCAUGCACGAAAGCGUGGGGAGCAAACAGGAUUAGAUACCCUGGUAGUCCACGCCCUAAACGAUGUCAAUUAGCUGUUGGGGGUUAGAAUCCCUGGUAGCGUAGCUAACGCGUGAAAUUGACCGCCUGGGGAGUACGGCCGCAAGGUUAAAACUCAAAGGAAUUGACGG
RNAcentral lists this ribosomal RNA (585 nucleotides) under uncultured beta proteobacterium. RNAcentral's name for it is "bacterial SSU rRNA". It matches the Rfam family "Bacterial small subunit ribosomal RNA", at positions 338 to 916 of the family's 1533-position model. The record is from RNAcentral. Lineage: Bacteria; Pseudomonadati; Pseudomonadota; Betaproteobacteria.